CCAGUUAUGAAAGAAAAUGAGAUUUGUUUGAAAGUUUCACUAUUCAAAUCUGCAGAGAUACCAGUCUUGGAGGUAGUAUAACUGAGAGCCAAACUAAUAAGAUCACUCAUAGCCAAGAAUGAACCAAAGUAAGCUUCAUCACUGGAGAAGAAAUGAGCCGAAAGGAAAGUAUGCUUGAAAUCCAAUAACUGAUCAUCAGAUUGAACCGAAGUAAGUAAAAUCUUAUUAAUAGGAGAACCAAAUUCAAGAUGAGUGUUUUUGAAUUCAUUUUCAAUAUAAUGAGAAUCCAUAAUAUCUGAGAACGGUAAAUUCAAUAUGUAGAAUUCUGCGAGGGAGUUUGCAGAAGCUCCAAUAGAAGGAGCAGAAAUGUAAGGGCUCAUGGGACCAAAUAUUGAUGUAAUCAAGAAAACUAGCUUUUCAAAAUCAUUCGAGAAGUUCAUUGCCAAGUUAGUUAAUCUUGGAAUUGCAAUGGUUGGCAUUCUUCUAGGUGAAGAGGCAAAGUAUUCAGCUGUGAUCCUCUCCAAAUAAUCCAAGAAGUUGACUCUAGCGUUUGCUUGAGAGUGAUUUCCCAAAUCAUUUGAAUUGGUACUCCCCAAAAGUUCCAAGUUGGGAGUGAAGGAAAAGAUUGUGGGAAUUUCUAAUAAAGGCAAAGUUGUUUUCUUCUUAUAGAAUCCUGCAAUCAUCCGCAAAUCCUGAUAUGCUUCUUCUAAGUUAGUAGCAGGACGAUCCAAAGCCAGGAACACGCUGUUCUCAUCCGCUAUAAAGUACUUUACAAUAAUGUUCAAGGAACUCAAAGCCAUAGGGAAAGGAUGUGAAGACGUGAAUCCUACCAAAGAAGUUGCAAGUAUAUUACUGUCUUGUGAGAAGCCAAAAGUGACAAAGGCUGGUAAAAGAUUCCUCACGCUUAGGAGAUCCCUAGCAAGUAAGGGAUCACUACAAUGGAAAGGCAUUCUUGGUAAGACUGAGGAAAGCCAGAUUCUGAAAGCUUGCAUUCUGUUAAUAUUCUGAGUAGAGCAGGAUAACUCUGGGUCAAAUCCAGGAGGAGGUGGCUCUAAGAUGCCAGUUUCUGGGUUAAUAUUCCCAAGCACCAAAGCUGGGAUAAAAACACCAGAAAGACCCUUUUCAGCAAGCUCUUCAUCAAAGGUAAUUUCUCCAUUUUCUCCAAUAUGUACGCCUAAGUUAGACAUAUUGUGUGUAUCAGAAAUGUUUAUUGACGGGGCGAUCAUUCUUUUGCUCAAAAUCAUCAUUGCUGAACUGAGCAAUGUUGAGGAAAGCGUACCAAGUUCCAAAAGCAAAUUGUGAAUAUCGUUCCUAAUCUUCUCAACUACGAAUAAAGCCGUGUCUUCCUUGUUAACUUGUGCGUUAAGCUCAUCCAAGAGAGCACUAUGUUCCAAGCUAAGUCUCUCAAUCUCUGAUAAGAUCUGAGCAGCUCUUUGUGAUCGCUGAGCCUGAUCACCAUCUUGAUCCUGCCCUGGACCUUCGGAUGGCAAGCCUGGAGAUGUACCUGAAGGGAGAGAUCUGAGCCUCCUAAAUUGGUAAUUUGUAGGGAGAUGGUCUACCCAAGGUACCAAAAAGAUAUGAGAAUUGUGACUAAGCCUUGUAUUAUGUUGAAUGUAGAGUUUGAAAUCUUCGAUACUGAGCAAAUAAUCGAAGAAGAUGGAAUCAUCGUUCAAAUUCUGACUGUUAGCCCAUUUUAAUACUUUGAUGAAUAAAUCUUGGCUUUGUGGCUGGGUUUGAAAUAGUCUUGUUAAGUAUGCUAAGGUCAAAUCAGCAAAGUGAAUCACGCUUUGAUUCUCUAUAUCUGAACUUGAAUAAUCAUCCCUGUCUUUAACAAAGGUCCAAACACAACUUGGUAUAAAGAUCUUUCCAUUCACUAAGUCUAUUUCAGUAGCAAACCCACCUUCCAAAUCUGGAUUUCUUGUGUAGAGAAAAUAUUUCUCAAAGAUUAAAUAAGCCAUUAAGGCGAAAGUUAAAUCUUCAGCUAAACUAUCUGACAGAUUUAGGCUUUGAUUACCUUGAAUGAUUUGCUUAAUUAUAUCUUCAGAUAAAUUUGCUUCAUUUGGAAGAGCUUCAACCAAGGUUCUAAGCUCCUCAUAGUUAAACUUUGGAAUCUUUCUAAGCUUAUAGAUGAAAUACUGCUGCAUCCAAUUAUAGAUUAGUCUAGACCUGUUUUCCCUAGCAGUUGUUUCCUUUACAGAAUUUGCUGAGUAAUUCAAAAAUAAACUCUCUCCAUUGGCAAGAUUUCUUAGAUAUAUUGUUGGAUCAAUCAAAAGCUCCCAACCAUCCAAAGUUAAUGCUGCAAAGGUCAUUUCCAUUGAGUAAACGCUUCCUAGUGCUCCCUGUCCAUCAGAGUCCAAAUCCAGAACUUGAGGUAAUAUAAAACUUUCAUAAUUCGACCAUUCUUGAGCUAGAAUUUCUAUCAAAGAAUCAGUAAAGUGUUCAGGAUUUAAAUUACUUCUCAUUUCAUUAACAUAUGAAACUUUGUUAUUGUCCACACAUCCUUGUAAAAUCCUAUUUGCUUCCUCAGUUGUAAUGAAACUGAUAUUAUUGUUUGAAUAAGCCUUGAUCCUACUGUUGAUGAAUCCUUGGAAGAGAUAAACUCUUUGAAGCCUUUCUUGAGUUACCAAUUGAGGAAAUAUCUCGGUCAUUACACCUUCAUUUGCAGCUUCUAAAUAUUGAUUCAUGAUAUCUAACACAUUAACUGCAGCUUCAAUUAAGUACUUCCCCUCUACAUAACUUGCUAAAGGAUACUCGUAAAGAGCUUCAAAAUAAUUAUCAAUACUAAUUGGGCUGAAGCUUGAGUUAUGUUCAUUAAACAACUUCUUCUCAUAGCCACAAAAUGCUUUUGGUAAAGCUUUGUACUGUUCUUGAGUUAAUCCUAAUCCUUGAAUAACUAAAGAAACAUCCGAAUUCUCAUCCAAUCUACCUCCCAAUGCAUUAUAAAGUCUUACUGGGGAGAUAUGAACAAAAUUACCAUGUUUAACAAGAAUUUCUUCCAUAAAGGCUGAAGCAAAAAUAAACCUGUUUUGAAUCCAACCUGGCAUUGAAUUAAAUGCAUAAAAGAAAUCAGGUUUUAAAUGGUCAGCUGGAGGAAUUCCUUGAGCUGGAGAACUUGGAAUAAUAGAAUCCAAAAAGCUUGGCUUAGGGAAUUCUGGAAUCAUAUAGAACUUUUCCAUUCUCGUCUUGGUAGAGCCUUCCAAAGAUGCUAGUUUUCGCUUCUCAUGAGCUAAAAAAUGAGAAAAUAGCUUAUCAAUCUUCACUGGAAGACCGUUUUGGCGUUUCUGCAAUGUAGUAUUAAUAGCCAAAGGCCACUUUGUUCCAGGGUGUCUUUUCUUGUAUUUAAAAGCUCCACAAAGCUCUUCAAGAGUAAUGAUAUCACUUGAUGAACCAGUCUUGAUGAGUUUUUUGUUCAUAACCUCCAACAUUGAACAAAUCCUAUUCAUUUCCCAAGCCUUGAUUCCAUUACAAUCAUUAAAUCUGACAGAGAUUACACGACCUAAAUAAUCCAAAAUCCCUAUCUCUUUCCAAAUACGAACUGUAUCAGACAUGGGACCUCCAACUAAGGCAGUCUGACGCAUUUCUAUAACAGUUCUUUCUGGACCAAAGAUAUCCAUAAUCUGUGUUCUAUCCAUUGUUUUACCAGAAGAAGCUUUGCAACCCAAUAUAUCUCUAGCCAUAUUUGCUAUCUCCGUCAACUGAUCCGUAGUCAAAGGAUUUGUAUAGGUUGCACCAAUAACAGCAGCAAUAACCUCCGUACACUGUUCCUGGCUUCUUUCCUCUUCAAUAAAGUUAAGCAUUAUAUAUACCAUUGACAUGACUUCAUCCCUAGCUAUUACAAUUCCUAACCUCUUUUCAAUCUCGUGCAUCAAUUUCUCUGCAAUUCUUCUAUAGAAAGGUAGAAUCCUGGAUUCAAAUGAAUUAUCCUUAGGAAAAGCUUCCAAAUGGAAGUAAUCUGAAAUCUCAAUUGCAGACAUUUGCUUCGAUUUAGUAUCAGCUCUGUGCUUUGGAAGCUGAAGGAAGUAAUCUAAGAUAUACAUAACUUCAUUAAUAAUUCCAGAAUCAUCUGAAAUUCUUCCCAACAAAAUAUCAUUCUGUAAUACAGCUGCAAUAAUAUUCAAAAAUUGUGUUCUUGUCCUCAUUCCUGAGUAUAAAUGCAAAAGCAUCCUUAACAUUAAGCAAGUCUCCUGUAUUGUUACAUAAUGUCCAAGUACUUCUCUUAAUUUCACUGCAAAAGUUAAAGAAAGACCUACAAAAUCCGCAGGGUGAAUCUUGAUUUCUUUAUUUUCAAAAGCCUUCUUGGCUGAAUCAAAGAGAGCAGAACACUCGUUACUCUUUCUGUAUGGUUUAGUUGCUAUUUUUGGGAAAUAAUCGCCAUACUGAGGAUUCAAGUGUUUGUAAGUCUUUCUAUUACUUGGGUCUUGCCAAAUUGAAUCUGUUCCUGGCAAAUAUGAUUUAUACUCACUCAUUGAUAACUUUGACUUGUCAAUUUUUCUCCUUUCUCUCUUUGUGAAUUUUUCAUCUGUAUUGGUGCUCUUGUGAUUCAAAGAAUUAUUUCCAAUACCAAUAGCUUGAUCUGUCUGAGUUGACUUUUUAGAUUUUCCACUAGGCAUAGAACUUUCCUCUUUACUGUCUGAAGAAGUGGAACCACUUGAAGAUUUUCUUGGCUUACUACCACUACCUGACCUGCUUCUUUUCUUCUUUGAGACCUUUUCUUCUUCCCUUUCGUUAGACUUCGAUCUUUCUUCAGCCCUUUUCUUUGAUUUUGUUGAUUUCUUUUUCUUCCUUCCAUGAGUAACUUUUUUUGAGCCUGCAUCAGAUUCAGACAACUCAUCAUAUCUCAUUCCAGGAAUCGGAUAUCUAGGCAAUUUACCAGUAUCCGGAUGUUUUUUCCUUCUCUCUGCAUCCAAUUUACCCAUACUGUGAGAAGGUGAAGAUUCUGAAGCUUCUACAACGAAGCCAACUCCACAAAUUCCUUCAUUUUUAAAUAAACCUAUAUUCGCAUCAAAAAAUAUUAUAUUCAAUAAAAAAACUGCCAAAAAUCCCACCUUCCUGCUUCUUAGAGCAUUAAAAGGCGUCCACAUUUUUUCUUCCUGUAUUGCCACAAAUUCUGCAUGCAUGCAUGCAAUUCACCUGAGUGGCAACAAAAUUACCUUAAAUUAUUAUUAUUACCAGUUUAAAUCCUAUUUUCAAUUUAUCUUACUAUUCCC
Molecule: non-coding RNA, 5207 nt
Filed under: Cryptosporidium parvum
Lineage: Eukaryota; Apicomplexa; Conoidasida; Eucoccidiorida; Cryptosporidiidae
Source: RNAcentral